Molecule: transfer RNA, 72 nt
Filed under: Culturomica sp.
Lineage: Bacteria; Pseudomonadati; Bacteroidota; Bacteroidia; Bacteroidales; Odoribacteraceae
Also listed under: 2 other names
Description: tRNA-Thr
Rfam family: tRNA
About the family: Transfer RNA (tRNA) molecules are approximately 80 nucleotides in length.
Source: RNAcentral
GCUGUUGUAGCUCAGGGGUAGAGCACUUCCUUGGUAAGGAAGAGGUCAUGGGUUCAAAUCCCAUCAACAGCU